Molecule: non-coding RNA, 31 nt
Filed under: Homo sapiens (human)
Lineage: Eukaryota; Metazoa; Chordata; Mammalia; Primates; Hominidae
Source: RNAcentral
UCCACCUGUAUGGAUGCUCUAUGAAACCCAC